Molecule: small RNA, 777 nt
Filed under: Theobroma cacao (cacao)
Lineage: Eukaryota; Viridiplantae; Streptophyta; Magnoliopsida; Malvales; Malvaceae
Description: sRNA Tc09v2_g019340
Source: RNAcentral
UCUCUCUUUCUAAACCUUAAAAUCCUAACCUCCCAAACUGAUUUUUGGAGCUAUUUGGAGUAAAUUGGAGUUUGGAAAACUUCUCUAGAGGUAAGAUUAUGCCUUUUUACCAAUUGAUUUUCAAUUUGAUUGGCUUAACAUCAAUUUGGUCUAGCUUUGGUAAAAUUUUUCUCCCUUGAGUUUGCUGGGGAUUUGGAGCUAAGAUUUGGGUAACCCAACAUCUUAGGAGAAGUUGAAGAUAAUCAACUCAUUUGUGAGCUGAAAGACAGUUAGAAGCUGAGAAUUUGAGCUUGGUUGUGGGCGCACCUCCGAUUGUCAUCGGAUGGCCUCAUUUGUGGAUUCAUAUUCCAUCUAACGAUGAGAAUUCCAGACGUUGAUUCGAUUUAAGGUUGAGUGGAGUUCUACACCUUGAGACUAUGUGUGCUUGCAAGGAUAGUGGUAACCAAGGACAACGGUAUUAGUCUCGCCUAUGAUUCCCACCUGCAAUUCUUUCAAGCCAGCUAUUUGAGAUUACUUCAGAUAAAUAGGCCACAAAACUAUGUAGUAAGGGUCGUCUAUUGACAAACCAAUUUUGGCGUCCAGUAAGUCCUCAUCCUAACAUGUCCACUCUGCUGAGUCUAUCAUGAGCUUUCGCUUUUGGAGUUCAGCUUAGUUAUUUUGUAUGUUGACACGAUGUGCCAUUUGAACUCGUGUUAAGGGUUACAAAGUAUAAACCCGUUUUGCUAGCCAAAUGUAUGGCCUUAUGGAUAUUGUAUUGAAUAUUGUGUAUAAGCAAUG